CCUACGGGAGGCAGCAGUGAGGAAUAUUGGUCAAUGGGCUUACGCCUGAACCAGCCAAGUCGCGUGAGGGAAGACUGCCCUAUGGGUUGUAAACCUCUUUUGUCAGGGAGCAACGCCGGCUACGUGUAGCCGGACUGAGAGUACCUGAAGAAAAAGCAUCGGCUAACUCAGUGCCAGCAGCCGCGGUAAUACGGAGGAUGCGAGCGUUAUCCGGAUUGAUUGGGUUAAAAGGGUGCGUAGGCGGAAUGCCAAGUCAGCGGUAAAAUCGCGGGGCUCAACCUCGCUCCGCCGUUGAAACUGGCGUUCUUGAGUGGGCGAGAAGUAUGCGGAAUGCGUGGUGUAGCGGUGAAAUGCAUAGAUAUCACGCAGAACUCCGAUUGCGAAGGCAGCAUACCGGCGCCCAACUGACGCUGAAGCACGAAAGCGUGGGUAUCGAACAGGAUUAGAUACCCGGGUAGUC
Molecule: ribosomal RNA, 460 nt
Filed under: uncultured bacterium
Lineage: Bacteria
Description: partial 16S ribosomal RNA
Rfam family: Bacterial small subunit ribosomal RNA
Source: RNAcentral